RNAcentral lists this ribosomal RNA (533 nucleotides) under Aureobasidium pullulans. RNAcentral describes it as "partial large subunit ribosomal RNA". It matches the Rfam family "Eukaryotic large subunit ribosomal RNA", at positions 79 to 628 of the family's 3401-position model. Lineage: Eukaryota; Fungi; Ascomycota; Dothideomycetes; Dothideales; Saccotheciaceae. The record is from RNAcentral.
CCUAGUAACGGCGAGUGAAGCGGCAACAGCUCAAAUUUGAAAGCUAGCCUUCGGGUUCGCAUUGUAAUUUGUAGAGGAUGAUUUGGGGAAGCCGCCUGUCUAAGUUCCUUGGAACAGGACGUCAUAGAGGGUGAGAAUCCCGUAUGUGACAGGAAAUGGCACCCUAUGUAAAUCUCCUUCGACGAGUCGAGUUGUUUGGGAAUGCAGCUCUAAAUGGGAGGUAAAUUUCUUCUAAAGCUAAAUAUUGGCGAGAGACCGAUAGCGCACAAGUAGAGUGAUCGAAAGAUGAAAAGCACUUUGGAAAGAGAGUUAAAAAGCACGUGAAAUUGUUGAAAGGGAAGCGCUUGCAAUCAGACUUGUUUAAACUGUUCGGCCGGUCUUCUGACCGGUUUACUCAGUUUGGACAGGCCAGCAUCAGUUUCGGCGGCCGGAUAAAGGCUCUGGGAAUGUGGCCUCCACUUCGGUGGAGGUGUUAUAGCCCAGGGUGUAAUACGGCCAGCCGGGACUGAGGUCCGCGCUCGGCUAGGAUGCUG